GACGAACGCUGGCGGCGUGCCUAAUACAUGCAAGUAGGACGCUGAAGGAGGAGCUUGCUUCUCUGGAUGAGUUGCGAACGGGUGAGUAACGCGUAGGUAACCUGCCUGGUAGCGGGGGAUAACUAUUGGAAACGAUAGCUAAUACCGCAUAAGAGUAGAUGUUGCAUGACAUUUGCUUAAAAGGUGCAAUUGCAUCACUACCAGAUGGACCUGCGUUGUAUUAGCUAGUUGGUGGGGUAACGGCUUACCAAGGCGACGAUACAUAGCCGACCUGAGAGGGGGAUCGGCCACACUGGGACGGAGACACGGCCCAGACUCCUACGGGAGGCAGCAGUAGGGAAUCUUCGGCAAUGGACGGAAGUCUGACCGAGCAACGCCGCGUGAGUGAAGAAGGUUGUCGGAUCGUAAAGCUCUGUUGUAAGAGAAGAACGAGUGUGAGAGUGGAAAGUUCACACUGUGACGGUAUCUUACCAGAAAGGGACGGCUAACUACGUG
This 495-nucleotide ribosomal RNA is filed under the name uncultured bacterium. RNAcentral's name for it is "partial 16S ribosomal RNA". It matches the Rfam family "Bacterial small subunit ribosomal RNA", at positions 28 to 507 of the family's 1533-position model. The record is from RNAcentral.